This 28-nucleotide small RNA is filed under the name Bombyx mori (domestic silkworm). Its description in RNAcentral is "ovarian small RNA-27033". Lineage: Eukaryota; Metazoa; Arthropoda; Insecta; Lepidoptera; Bombycidae. The record is from RNAcentral.
UCCAUGUCCACAUUCGCAAUAGUGCCAC